UGGAAGCUUUAAGAAGUAGGGCAUUGCUUGGGGAGGUAUGUCACUGCUUGUGUGUUUUCAUUAUAGCCUGAACCUACUUCUUGUUUUUUUUGCUCUGUUUUCUGCAGGAUGAUAAAGGCAUGUAGCUGACACUGAUGAGAUACACUCACUGAGAAAGAUUCAUCUAUAUUCCUGUGUAUUCAAAACCACAGAUGCGCGUCACUGCUGUGAGAGGUGGUAGAAAGUGAAAAGGCGGGCCUGGGCUGAAGGAAGAUCAUUGGGUUGUGCUUGUGGAUGCGACCUUGUCCAUCUGUGGCGCACUUCUCCCCUCCCUAUUCACGGCUGCAAUGAAAUGAGCAAUUUCCAUCGGCCAAGAUUCUCUAUCUCACCCUGACACAGAUGACCAUGAACUGAGACCUCUGGAAAUUGAACAAAAUCAACAGAGUCACGGCUUUGGAGAGAAAUCCGAUGAAUCCCAGCAAAGGGCUGGUGCCUAAGAACUCCUUGCUUAGAAGACCAGAGCUAAAAACAGCUAUUACUCAGGCCGCUUGUAUAAAUAACAAAUGUCUUCUGAGUAGACAUCACGUGGUCCAAUGUGUCAUGAUGCAUCUGAGAGAAUGGAUACAGAGAUUGUGGGACUGGCGAAAAUCCAUAGGAAAAACAGACUUCUAUUAAACAUUACAAGAGCAUAGUUAACUGGAUGGUUUUGAAUGUUGGUGAAGGCAGUGGUACACUGAACAAAAAGAGGCAUUUGAUAAAAUGGCUGAAAUGAAAGAAGAACAAGAUUUAUUCUGUUAUUCUAUUAUUUUAAUGCUGCUUCAAGCUUUCCAAAAUAAAAAGGAAGAUUUAUCUUCAUUCUUAUCAUCUCAUCUUGUAACAGUACAGCAUAAAUCUUGCUGAAGUCAAAAUGCAUUAUUUCAAAAACAUCCAAAGUCUUUCAAAUUGGAAGUGAGCACUGAAAUAUUAAGAAGAGAUGUGUUCCAGUUUGGGACUGAGCACUUUGUACACUCUCAUUCCCUGCAAGCUGACCAGCUGAGGGUCUCUGCAUUAAUUGCCAUCUAUUUCAAGGAGAAGCUUCUCUGAUGAGAGAUGUGCUGAUCUAUGGUCACAUCAAUAAAUCAUUGGAAGCUGUUUGGCUAUUCCAUUUAGCAGAAUCAGAGCAUUGGGUUCUUUCCUGGGGCCUAUGACCUAUCUAGUCAUGGGCUCCUGGGCCCUUUAACAGCAACAGCCAGAGGUGGCUGAAAACCAUGUUAUUCAGCCAGAUGUGGUGGCAAACAGUGUUAUCCAGGUACAAGAGAAGAGUUGGACAUACGAACUCCAAGCAGUUGUGACAGAAUGAACAGGACCUGGGCAAGCUCCAGUCAGAUAAAAUCCCAGCAUAGGAAAGGUGCACACAAUUAUUAAAUUUGGAUAGCUACUGGGAGAGGGAGAGUCUGCCUUCUUCAACAAUUUAACCCAAACGCCACAAAAGGUUACCCACACACCAUGGUACAUCUCACUCCCAAAACUAGCUGGGUAACAUAAACUCUCAAAGAGGAAAUCACAAAAUUUAGUGGAACGGAUAGGAGGAAGAGGGCAGUUAUGGAAGGAGUUGAGGGAGGGGGUUAGAUAUGUUUAAAAUACAUUGUUUGAUUUUCUCGAAGAAUUAAUAAAACUAUUGCUUAAAAUUAAGGAAAAUAACUAGAUUAUAUCUCAGUAGUGGAGCACUUCCACAGUAUAUAAAAAAUUGAUAUGUAAUACCCCCUACCUUGAAAUCCAACAAUCAAUAGAUUUUUGAACAUUGCCAAGAUCUCCAUUAUCUUUGUUUCCCAAUAUGGCUGUGACUUUAUAACAUAUAUCAGUAUUGUCUUAGAAAAAAAACAGGACUUCCAAAUAAGAUGGCAGAUCGUGAGUUGCCUCUAUGUGACAUGGUGAAAGAGAAAAGUUAGGAUAUGAAAGAAUCAACUCUAUCCUAAAGAAAGACAGAGAAGAAAAGGGAAUGAUAGGAAGUAUGAUAGGUGUGGAGACCCAAAAGAAUAUCAGCCAAAGGAACCCAUGAAGCCCCAGUUGUGUAGACAGGGGUGAGAAAAGAAAUGUCACCUAAAAUAGAAGCUAUGUGGCCUUAGUGAAGGUAGAGAGAGUGUCCUACCUCUAGAAUGACACAUGCUCCUAUAAGCCUCAAAUCAUGGUUUGGGUUUAGAUGCAAUGGAAGUGCCUUAGACAGAGAUCUGUGACCAAUCGCCACCUUGAGACAAAGCCUGCUCUUUAAAACUGAGCUAUUCUGGGGACCUGAGAACAGGGAGCCAUCACUCCUGCCAUAGCUUUAUAUGAGAGACAGAGAAAUAGGAAGGCAAUACAGAUGACAGGAGCAUCAACUCAGGUGUUGAAGUGUAUAGAGAAAGAGAGCCCACCCUUGAUGGCUAAGGAGCUGACAUUCUCACCUAAGUAUACUUUUGGCAUUUGAUAACCCUUAGCCUGAGAUCACUGGUUCAAUAAACCUCUGGAGGCACUUCACAUUGUCAUAGAGGCUGAGACACUUUAGGCUUCACAGAGACAUCAUCUCUCUGGCCUCCACAUAUGUACACAUGAGACAGU
Molecule: long non-coding RNA, 2553 nt
Organism: Mesocricetus auratus (golden hamster)
Lineage: Eukaryota; Metazoa; Chordata; Mammalia; Rodentia; Cricetidae
Exons: 7
Source: RefSeq, a predicted model, not a curated record